This 1503-nucleotide ribosomal RNA is filed under the name Salmonella sp. RNAcentral describes it as "partial 16S ribosomal RNA". It matches the Rfam family "Bacterial small subunit ribosomal RNA". Lineage: Bacteria; Pseudomonadati; Pseudomonadota; Gammaproteobacteria; Enterobacterales; Enterobacteriaceae. The record is from RNAcentral.
AGAGUUUGAUCCUGGCUCAGAUUGAACGCUGGCGGCAGGCCUAACACAUGCAAGUCGAACGGUAACAGGAAGCAGCUUGCUGCUUUGCUGACGAGUGGCGGACGGGUGAGUAAUGUCUGGGAAACUGCCUGAUGGAGGGGGAUAACUACUGGAAACGGUGGCUAAUACCGCAUAACGUCGCAAGACCAAAGAGGGGGACCUUCGGGCCUCUUGCCAUCAGAUGUGCCCAGAUGGGAUUAGCUUGUUGGUGAGGUAACGGCUCACCAAGGCGACGAUCCCUAGCUGGUCUGAGAGGAUGACCAGCCACACUGGAACUGAGACACGGCCCAGACUCCUACGGGAGGCAGCAGUGGGGAAUAUUGCACAAUGGGCGCAAGCCUGAUGCAGCCAUGCCGCGUGUAUGAAGAAGGCCUUCGGGUUGUAAAGUACUUUCAGCGGGGAGGAAGGUGUUGUGGUUAAUAACCGCAGCAAUUGACGUUACCCGCAGAAGAAGCACCGGCUAACUCCGUGCCAGCAGCCGCGGUAAUACGGAGGGUGCAAGCGUUAAUCGGAAUUACUGGGCGUAAAGCGCACGCAGGCGGUCUGUCAAGUCGGAUGUGAAAUCCCCGGGCUCAACCUGGGAACUGCAUUCGAAACUGGCAGGCUUGAGUCUUGUAGAGGGGGGUAGAAUUCCAGGUGUAGCGGUGAAAUGCGUAGAGAUCUGGAGGAAUACCGGUGGCGAAGGCGGCCCCCUGGACAAAGACUGACGCUCAGGUGCGAAAGCGUGGGGAGCAAACAGGAUUAGAUACCCUGGUAGUCCACGCCGUAAACGAUGUCUACUUGGAGGUUGUGCCCUUGAGGCGUGGCUUCCGGAGCUAACGCGUUAAGUAGACCGCCUGGGGAGUACGGCCGCAAGGUUAAAACUCAAAUGAAUUGACGGGGGCCCGCACAAGCGGUGGAGCAUGUGGUUUAAUUCGAUGCAACGCGAAGAACCUUACCUGGUCUUGACAUCCACAGAAGAAUCCAGAGAUGGAUUUGUGCCUUCGGGAACUGUGAGACAGGUGCUGCAUGGCUGUCGUCAGCUCGUGUUGUGAAAUGUUGGGUUAAGUCCCGCAACGAGCGCAACCCUUAUCCUUUGUUGCCAGCGGUUAGGCCGGGAACUCAAAGGAGACUGCCAGUGAUAAACUGGAGGAAGGUGGGGAUGACGUCAAGUCAUCAUGGCCCUUACGACCAGGGCUACACACGUGCUACAAUGGCGCAUACAAAGAGAAGCGACCUCGCGAGAGCAAGCGGACCUCAUAAAGUGCGUCGUAGUCCGGAUUGGAGUCUGCAACUCGACUCCAUGAAGUCGGAAUCGCUAGUAAUCGUGGAUCAGAAUGCCACGGUGAAUACGUUCCCGGGCCUUGUACACACCGCCCGUCACACCAUGGGAGUGGGUUGCAAAAGAAGUAGGUAGCUUAACCUUCGGGAGGGCGCUUACCACUUUGUGAUUCAUGACUGGGGUGAAGUCGUAACAAGGUAACC